Molecule: non-coding RNA, 1211 nt
Organism: Arachis ipaensis
Lineage: Eukaryota; Viridiplantae; Streptophyta; Magnoliopsida; Fabales; Fabaceae
Source: RefSeq, a predicted model, not a curated record
CUCCAAAAAACACUUAACAAUAACACACUCUCUCUCAUUUCGAGAAAGUGCAAUAGAAUCCCUCCAACCUAUAAAGAAAACCAACCACACCCCCAUAAUCCUUUGUAGUUGGAAACCAAUUCUUACCCUCCUCUCUUCUCUAUCUUAGCUUCACCCUCCCUUACUUCUCUCUGUUCUCUUUUUUCUCUUUCUCUUCUUAUUAUACACCAAUAAUAAUAAUAAUAUUAAUUAUUGACUUCGAUCAUAUCAUGAUGCAAUGAUAAUAGGCUUUUUCUGUUUUCCCUCUUCUUCUUCAUCAUCAUCAUCAUCUCUAUGUCAUAGCAAUAAUAGUACGUACUACCUUUAGUUUCCUCCUACUAACCAAAGAUAUAUUUAUAUAUAGAAAUAAAUAGAAAGAUGACAAAAUUGCAUGUGGUGGGAAGUAGUUGUUUGUUUCCAAGGUUGUUCCUAGUGGUGGGGCUUGUUUGUCUUGUGGUUGUUGGGAGCAGCUUAGCAACUAGUAGAAAACUAACUACACAACAUCACCAAGAAGAAGAAGAAGAAGGACUCCACCAUAAUAAUGGUCAAGUAGUAUUCUCUGCUGCUCGAGAUAAUAAACAACUGGACGAUUUCAACUACAUGAGCAAAAGAAGAGUCCCCAAUGGACCAGAUCCAAUUCAUAACAGGAGAGCUGGAAACUCCGGUAGACCUCCUGGCCAAGCUUAAUUAUUAUUUAUUAAUGAACUCUGAAUUUCGACAAGCUUCGGUGAAGGGACAAGAUAUGUUAGCCAUGUACACAAUUCUGAGAACUGGGACUGAAUAUAUAUAUGUAUAAUAUGCUUGUGUGUAUAUAUAUUCCUGAGCUUCUUGGUAUUCCAGCAUGCAUGGAAAUUAAAGGGCUAAUCUCAAUUGCGGAAAUUUAUUUACUUUGUUUAUUAUGGGAAGAGUUGAUUUAGAAGGAAAAGAAAAAGGAAUGAAGCUUGUCCCACAGAAAAUAAGCUCAAAAGAAAGUUGAUUAUUAUGAUCAGUUAAGUGAUGAGAGUGUUUACAAUGUUUGUUUCUUGAACUUAUCUUGUGAUUGGGUUUAGCGGGAUGGAAAUUAAAAGCUAGGCAAGAGUGUCACAAAUUCAAUGAAAUCAGUGUCGUAGUACUUGCAUGUAAAGCAAUUACCUUUUUUGAAUUUAGAAAGAAAUGGUAUUUAGACAUUAAAAAUGGACAUAAUUUUGUGUAAA